Molecule: ribosomal RNA, 468 nt
Filed under: uncultured bacterium
Lineage: Bacteria
Description: partial 16S ribosomal RNA
Rfam family: Bacterial small subunit ribosomal RNA
Source: RNAcentral
GACGAACGCUGGCGGCGUGCUUAACACAUGCAAGUCGAACGGAAAGGCUCUGCUUUUUUAGGUUGCUCGAGUGGCGAACGUGUGUGUAACACGUGAGUAACCUUCCCUUGACUUUGGGAUAACUUCAGGAAACUGGUGCUAAUACCGGAUAGGAGCUCCUGCUGCAUGGUGGGGGUUGGAUAGUUUCGGCGGUUGGGGAUGGACUCGCGGCUUAUCAGCUUGUUGGUGGGGUAGUGGCUUACCAAGGCUUUGACGGGUAGCCGGCCUGAGAGGGUUACCGGCCACAUUGGGACGGAGAUACGGCACAGACUACUACGGGAGGCAGGAGUGGGGAAUAGUGCACAAUGGGAGGAAGCAUGAUGCAGCAAAGCCGCGUGGGGGAUGAGGGCCUUCGGGUUGUAAACCGAUUUCGCAUGUGAAGAAGAGUGAGUGACGGUAAUGGGUAAAGAAGCACCGGCUAACUACGUG